GUGUCAGCCGCCGCGGUAAUACCGGCAGCCCAAGUGAUGGCCGAUCUUAUUGGGCCUAAAGCGUCCGUAGCUGGCCACGCAAGUCCAUCGGGAAAUCCACCUGCCCAACAGGUGGGCGCCCGGUAGAAACUGCGUGGCUUGGGACCGGAAGGCGCGACGGGUACGUCCGGGGUAGGAGUGAAAUCCUGAAAUCCUGGACGGACCGCCGAUGGCGAAAGCACGUCGCGAGGACGGAUCCGACAGUGAGGGACGAAAGCUCGGGUCACGAACCGGAUUAGAUACCCCGGUAGUCC
RNAcentral lists this ribosomal RNA (293 nucleotides) under uncultured prokaryote. RNAcentral's name for it is "partial 16S ribosomal RNA". It matches the Rfam family "Archaeal small subunit ribosomal RNA", at positions 455 to 747 of the family's 1478-position model. The record is from RNAcentral.